GUUGAAGCUCUUUCUUUCUCUUGCCUUCAAUUCCUUUUCUUCUUCUAUUUCUGUUGAUGUGAAUGGAUCGAGGAUGAACUUAGGAUUGAGUUGAAGGUGAGGUUAUGAACCUAUUCACUGAUUGAACCAAAUCAAUGAUUGGGAUGGAUGAAGGCGAGGAAUUGUGUGAGGGUUGAGCAGUGAUUGAUGAAGGUUGAAGAUGGAUUGAGAUUUUGAGUUGAGAGGGAGUGAAGG
This 234-nucleotide long non-coding RNA is filed under the name Lathyrus oleraceus (garden pea). RNAcentral describes it as "Pisum sativum (pea) long non-coding RNA (PSAT_LNC002790)". Lineage: Eukaryota; Viridiplantae; Streptophyta; Magnoliopsida; Fabales; Fabaceae. The record is from RNAcentral.